GCCGGAAUAGCUCAGUUGGUAGAGCAGGGGACUGAAAAUCCUCG
This 44-nucleotide transfer RNA is filed under the name Radula javanica. RNAcentral describes it as "partial tRNA-Phe". It matches the Rfam family "tRNA", at positions 1 to 43 of the family's 71-position model. Rfam says of the family: Transfer RNA (tRNA) molecules are approximately 80 nucleotides in length. Their secondary structure includes four short double-helical elements and three loops (D, anti-codon, and T loops). RNAcentral also lists the same sequence under 8 other names. The record is from RNAcentral. Lineage: Eukaryota; Viridiplantae; Streptophyta; Jungermanniopsida; Radulales; Radulaceae.